UCCUACCCAGAGAUCCUGCUUUCUGGAGGGUUUGGCAAGCUCUGAUCCUUGGGAAAGGCAUUGUCAACUGGGAAAAAGAGAAGGAAGAAGUACAGUAUUCAUGGAUGUGGAUGUCAUGCAAGAUGGGCCACCUGAAUCCCAGCUAUUCUCACCUUUACAGCACUGCUGUGUCAAUACAAGCAGUCUGUGUGCCAGCAUCUCUCAAUGCGCAGUGGUCAGAGGCAUACCAGAAUGGUACUGCAGUGCACUGGUAUGGUGCUCCCUGUUAAUCCACCUAGCAAGCACCUGAAAAGACUUAACUACAUGUACCACGCAGGCACCCUGCUGAGACAGUGGGAAUAGGCACAGACCUGUAAUUACCAAGUAAAGACAAUGAAAUCACACGUACUCCCACCACCUGCAGCUCUAAAUGAGGAAAAGUGUUAGUUACACUGUUGUACUUCUAUGGAGUCUCAGGAGAAAAAACAGAGGGCGUAAUGAGCUACUAGACGUGUGAUAAGCUUAUAAGAGGCAGAAUUAAAGUGCAUUCACAAUUUACCCCAAUCUAGUGCUCUGCAAGGAGGGGCUCAGAGGGAAGCGCAAUUAAAUUUUUGCGCCUUCCCUUUAAUUUGGGGAAAUGAAGAGCAUGCCUGAAAGAACAAUUCUGCGUUGUUUCACGGACCUCAGCCCUUUGCCACCCCCAAAUGGAGAGGUACGACAUGAUGAGAGCAAAGCUGCAUGCUGCUUGCACUGGGAACUAUUGCCAUGAUGUUGGAGGGGGCCCGAGUCUGGGUGGCUUGGGCUGAUUUCUGCUUGCUGUUUCCCUUAAGUGUAAAGGCAGAGCUCACAGGAUGGAUAGGACAGCUGCUGUUUGAAGGAGAUCUAUGGAGAAUUUAACUUUAUUCUUACGUGGACUUAGGAAAUCUUAAGAAUAUGAAAACAAUGUUAAAACACGUUCCCAGAAGUUCCUCUGUAAAAAGUUUUCCUAGUCGGAUAGCUGUUUCUUUUCCCCAUGUUUUUUAAUACUCUGUUUUCACUACUUGUACAGGAGUAUUCAUUCUGAAUGCUACCUGUUUGAUUGUUAUUACUUU
RNAcentral lists this long non-coding RNA (1070 nucleotides) under Gallus gallus (chicken). RNAcentral's name for it is "lncRNA (ENSGALG00010022457.1)". The record is from RNAcentral. Lineage: Eukaryota; Metazoa; Chordata; Aves; Galliformes; Phasianidae.